UAUUUCGCAAUGGGGGGAACCCUGACGCAGCAACGCCGCGCGAAGGAGGAAGUAUUUCGGUAUGUAAACUUCUAUCAGCAGGGAAGGAGGAAGUGACGGUACCUGGAUAAGAAGCCACGGCUAAUUACGUGCCAGCAGCCGCGGUAAUACGUAAGGGGCAAGCGUUAUCCGGAUUUACUGGGUGUAAAGGGUGGGUAGGCGGUUCGGCAAGUCAUAUGUGAAAUACCUGGGCUCAACCCAGGAACCGCAUAAGAAACUGUCGGACUUGAGUACAGGAGAGGUAAGCGGAAUUCCCAGUGUAGCGGUGAAAUGCGUAGAUAUUGGGAAGAACACCGGUGGCGAAGGCGGCUUACUGGACUGAAACUGACGCUGAGUCACGAAAGCGUGGGGAGCGAACAGGA
This 401-nucleotide ribosomal RNA is filed under the name uncultured bacterium. RNAcentral's name for it is "bacterial SSU rRNA". It matches the Rfam family "Bacterial small subunit ribosomal RNA", at positions 362 to 777 of the family's 1533-position model. The record is from RNAcentral.